GAUUUUCUGCCCACACUUGUCACUAGAGGAUAAGUGAGUUUGGGUUUUUGUCAAGCCCUGUGUGAAUGACUCGUUAACUCCAGAGGAACUGGGAUGCCUUGAGUGACACUCUGCGAGCUGGACUGCACUGUGACUUCUGCAUUUCAGGAAUGCGAUUCCUGUCCUUGACCUCGUCUGCAGAUAAAUACAACAUGCCCCUUACUGCUGAGUGGGUUGGGAAGAAUGUCAGCCAGACGAGAGAGGGGAGAUAAAGGAAAGACAGGCUACGAUAGGAACUGGGCUGUCUGAUUCUGCAAUUGGGGAAUUGCCUUUUCUCAGCUGACAGUGUCAAAGUCAAGCUUGCAGUGCACAAAUAAAAUGGGGUAUUCCACACCCCCCCCCUGCACCCUUUCAAUUGUCACUAAUAUUUAGCAGAGGGAAUAUUCAAAACAUUAUUUCCUCCAAUACAGAAUGGCUGUUGGGUGUUACUAGAUCACAAAAGAUAUCUGAGCAGAGUUUUUCUGGCAACAAACAAGAAACAAAGGGAGGAUUAAAAAAAAAAAAAAGUUUUGCUAUAUAUAGUGUUAUGAUUUUUUAUGUAUAUAUAUAUAAAUUAAUGUUGGGAUGUGAAGAAACAAAGAAAAAGAGCAGGCAAGUGUGCUACCAUAAAAUGUUACAGAACUGAAUGUUAUAGCGUCAAGCAUCAGGUAGGGACAUGUGUUGGGGACUAGGAUGGUUGUUUCCACAUAUUAUUGAGAUCAGUGCAAACUCUCCACUACCUUAUUUAACGUGGGAUCAAAGGUUUGAUGGCACCCAGAAAUCCAAAACCAAAAUGUGGCAGGUGUGGGUAACCUCAUGUUACCACAGUCCAUUGCCUCAGAAAGAGGAAUGUUCUUGCAAAUUUGACAUAAUCCAAUUAGUUGAUUCCCUCAGUGACAUUUCUGCAGGCUCAUGUACAGAGGAACAAGGAAAGGGAGAUUUAUGACAGCUAUUCCUAGCAAAGGUCAUUUCUUUAUUAGUGAACAACCUGUCCUGAGUCAUGCUGAUGACGAGGCGUUGAAGGAUAAGGGAGAGGCUGUCUAGCUUUAAAACUUAACAGGGAAUAACAGCGAUAGAGCAUAGAUCAUCUCUCUACACGGACCAGGAGGACUGAAAUCUCCCACCAUCAGGCCAAAGCCAGAGAGUAUGAGGCAAAAUCCAGAAAAAAAUAAACAAACAUGGGGAUUUCUGUGGGGAUUGUGAAGGAGUUUGGAUGGUUCAGCGUCAGCACAGCAGGGGGGAAAGAGGAGCCACAGGCAUGAGUAUGUGUUUUUGGAUAGGAUGAGUGUCCUUGGUGGAACCAGCUGCUUAUAAAGAACCUGGUCUGGUUGUUCUGGGGAAUCCCUGGUCAGCACUGCCAAAUUCCCAGUGUGAGCAGUUCUCAGCAUUCUGUUCCAUGCCAUUUCCAGAACAACACAGAUGAGGGCAUGCUCAAAUGUAUACAAAUACAGUUCCUCUGCUGUCUUUCCAUAGGCAAGGGAAGCAGCAGAACUGACAGGAAUAUGGUUUCAAUAGAUUGUGACAUACAUAUUAUGCAUUUUUAAAUAAUAAACAAGCAUCUGGCUAUUCAUCAC
This is a long non-coding RNA of Empidonax traillii (willow flycatcher), 1592 nucleotides long. RefSeq lists it as uncharacterized. NCBI's taxonomy places the organism in Eukaryota, Metazoa, Chordata, Aves, Passeriformes, Tyrannidae. The record is from RefSeq and is a predicted model, not a curated record. The transcript is spliced from 3 exons.